AGCGAGCGCUGGCGGUAGGCCUAACACAUGCAAGUCGAACGGCAGCACAGUAAGAGCUUGCUCUUACGGGUGGCGAGUGGCGGACGGGUGAGGAAUACAUCGGAAUCUACUUUUUCGUGGGGGAUAACGUAGGGAAACUUACGCUAAUACCGCAUACGACCUACGGGUGAAAGCAGGGGAUCUUCGGACCUUGCGCGAUUGAAUGAGCCGAUGUCGGAUUAGCUAGUUGGCGGGGUAAAGGCCCACCAAGGCGACGAUCCGUAGCUGGUCUGAGAGGAUGAUCAGCCACACUGGAACUGAGACACGGUCCAGACUCCUACGGGAGGCAGCAGUGGGGAAUAUUGGACAAUGGGCGCAAGCCUGAUCCAGCCAUACCGCGUGGGUGAAGAAGGCCUUCGGGUUGUAAAGCCCUUUUGUUGGGAAAGAAAAGCAGCAGGUUAAUACCCCGCUGUUCUGACGGUACCCAAGGAAUAAGCACCGGCUAACUUCGUG
Molecule: ribosomal RNA, 492 nt
Filed under: uncultured bacterium
Lineage: Bacteria
Description: partial 16S ribosomal RNA
Rfam family: Bacterial small subunit ribosomal RNA
Source: RNAcentral